AGUGAACGCUGGCGGUAGGCCUAACACAUGCAAGUCGAACGGCAGCACAGUAAGAGCUUGCUCUUACGGGUGGCGAGUGGCGGACGGGUGAGGAAUACAUCGGAAUCUACUUUUUCGUGGGGGAUAACGUAGGGAAACUUACGCUAAUACCGCAUACGACCUACGGGUGAAAGCAGGGGAUCUUCGGACCUUGCGCGAUUGAAUGAGCCGAUGUCGGAUUAGCUAGUUGGCGGGGUAAAGGCCCACCAAGGCGACGAUCCGUAGCUGGUCUGAGAGGAUGAUCAGCCACUCUGGAACUGAGACACGGUCCAGACUCCUACGGGAGGCAGCAGUGGGGAAUAUUGGACAAAGGGCGCAAGCCUGAUCCAGCCAUACCGCGUGGGUGAAGAAGGCCUUCGGGUUGUAAAGCCCUUUUGUUGGGAAAGAAAAGCAGCAGGUUAAUACCCCGCUGUUCUGACGGUACCCAAAGAAUAAGCACCGGCUAACUUCGUG
This 492-nucleotide ribosomal RNA is filed under the name uncultured bacterium. RNAcentral describes it as "partial 16S ribosomal RNA". It matches the Rfam family "Bacterial small subunit ribosomal RNA", at positions 29 to 507 of the family's 1533-position model. The record is from RNAcentral.